Long non-coding RNA from Mauremys reevesii (Reeves's turtle), 500 nucleotides. RefSeq lists it as uncharacterized. The transcript is spliced from 4 exons. NCBI's taxonomy places the organism in Eukaryota, Metazoa, Chordata, Testudines, Geoemydidae. The record is from RefSeq and is a predicted model, not a curated record.
CAAAUUCCUAGGCCACUGUCAGCCGAAGUGCAGAAGUAAAGGUGGCAUGGUAUAUGGUGUAUCGCCACGCUUACUUCUGUGAUGCUGCGGUGGCUUGUGGUGCCUGGCACUUGGCCUGAGGCUCAAGGGGAAGAGGAAGUCCCAUCCCAUCCUUCCUGCAGCCCAGCUGGGACUAGCGGUUGAUCCCGGCUAUGGAUAGAAGCCACUCGCUGGGAUGUCCCCAGAUCUGCAAUGAAUUACCUCUCUGCCAGCUGUUCUGGGGGCCUGAAAUGAUGUACCUGCACAGGAAAAUCUGAAGGGAAAAACAGCAGUCUGAAGAUGAGUCAGCACUGAUUUCCAGCAAAAAGUGCUUAGAUACUGUUGGGGGCUGUAUCAAUGUGUAGGGCUGAAGUGGACUAUUUGAAAACAGAAAUCUUAUUAAGAAAAUCUUCAUCACGCAUGCUGGCUUUCCCCUCCCCCCGGUAUGGAGGAAAUGUAUUUUGUCUGUAUAAUGUUUCCCC